GACGAACGCUGGCGGCGUGCUUAACACAUGCAAGUCGAACGGAAAGGCCCUGCUUUUGUGGGGUGCUCGAGUGGCGAACGGGUGAGUAACACGUGAGUAACCUGCCCUUGACUUUGGGAUAACUUCAGGAAACUGGGGCUAAUACCGGAUAGGAGCUCCUGCUGCAUGGUGGGGGUUGGAAAGUUUCGGCGGUUGGGGAUGGACUCGCGGCUUAUCAGCUUGUUGGUGGGGUAGUGGCUUACCAAGGCUUUGACGGGUAGCCGGCCUGAGAGGGUGACCGGCCACAUUGGGACUGAGGUACGGCCCAGACUGCUACGGGAGGCAGCAGUGGGGAAUAUUGCACAAUGGGCGGAAGCCUGAUGCAGCAACGCCGCGUGCGGGAUGACGGCCUUCGGGUUGUAAACCGCUUUCGCCUGUGACGAAGCGUGAGUGACGGUAAUGGGUAAAGAAGCACCGGCUAACUACGUG
This 468-nucleotide ribosomal RNA is filed under the name uncultured bacterium. RNAcentral's name for it is "partial 16S ribosomal RNA". It matches the Rfam family "Bacterial small subunit ribosomal RNA", at positions 28 to 507 of the family's 1533-position model. The record is from RNAcentral.